AUGCCAAACUACUCGAUUGCAACACAAAAGAUGAUUGUUGCGGCUACCAUGACACUACACAACUACGUCCGCCUCCAUGACAAAGAGGAUCUCCACUUUCUUCGGUAUGAGAGGGAUCCGGAUUAUGUUCCAACUAUUCCUAAUGCAUCGGAUGCUUCAACAACGGCAGAAAGCGGUCCUAACAUGGAUUUGUUUAGGCAUGAACUAGCUACAGCCAUUGCUCUUAGUUGGUGA
This 234-nucleotide ribosomal RNA is filed under the name Triticum aestivum (bread wheat). RNAcentral's name for it is "partial small subunit ribosomal RNA". The record is from RNAcentral. Lineage: Eukaryota; Viridiplantae; Streptophyta; Magnoliopsida; Poales; Poaceae.